Molecule: transfer-messenger RNA, 390 nt
Filed under: Clostridiales bacterium
Lineage: Bacteria; Bacillati; Bacillota; Clostridia; Eubacteriales
Also listed under: 2 other names
Rfam family: transfer-messenger RNA
About the family: Bacterial tmRNA, also known as 10Sa RNA or SsrA, is named for its dual tRNA and mRNA-like properties.
Source: RNAcentral
GGGGGCGUAAUGGUUUCGACGGGAUUGUUGAGACGAAAGUAGCGGGUAGAGGAUUCUCGUGGGCCUCUUUAAAAAACGGGAAACUAAAAAUAAACGCUAACAACGAAAAUUACGAAUUAGCUUUAGCUGCUUAAUUGCAGCUAACCGUCAGUCCGGGGUUCCUGCACCUUGGGUAGCUGGCGUCAUUAAGCCAGGCCUUUUGCACGGGAAGGUUAAAUGCUAGAACUGGUUCGAUGGUAGCCUUGAGUUGGACUGGAUUUUAAAGGCUGGCGGAUUCAGAAGCCUGCCCUUGGGCGUCUGAUGAAGCGAGAUCCAAAAUGAGGGAUACACCCGUAGAAGCUUUUGUGGAUAUGGUUUCGGACAGGGGUUCGACUCCCCUCGCCUCCACCA